GCAUCUGUGGUUCAGUGGUAGAAUGCUCACCUGCCACGCAGGCGGCCCGGGUUCGAUUCCCUUUCGAUGCA
RNAcentral lists this transfer RNA (71 nucleotides) under Cordylochernes scorpioides. RNAcentral describes it as "tRNA-Gly". It matches the Rfam family "tRNA". From Rfam's summary of the family: Transfer RNA (tRNA) molecules are approximately 80 nucleotides in length. Their secondary structure includes four short double-helical elements and three loops (D, anti-codon, and T loops). Further hydrogen bonds mediate the characteristic L-shaped molecular structure. tRNAs have two regions of fundamental functional importance: the anti-codon, which is responsible for specific mRNA codon recognition, and the 3' end, to which the tRNAs corresponding amino acid is attached (by aminoacyl-tRNA synthetases). tRNAs cope with the degeneracy of the genetic code in two manners: having more than one tRNA (with a specific anti-codon) for a particular amino acid; and 'wobble' base-pairing, i.e. permitting non-standard base-pairing at the 3rd anti-codon position. The record is from RNAcentral. Lineage: Eukaryota; Metazoa; Arthropoda; Arachnida; Pseudoscorpiones; Chernetidae.